AUGGGAUUUAGGGUCCCUUCCAUCCCUGGGUGCAGCCUGGGACCCCGGGAGCUGGGAAUGGAUGGGAUUUAUGGUCCCUUCCAGCCCCCUUCCAGCCCCACGGCUCCCGGUGGAAGCUGGAGGCAGCUCAGAAUUCCCAAGGGACAAAUCGCGGUGCUCAGGGUCCCCUCGGGGCCGGCUCAGUCCCAGCUUGGAGCAGACCUUGUGCAGCUCAUGGGAUGCGAAUCCAGGGAAAACAAAGAUUUGGGGCUUUUCUCGGCCCUGGGAGCUCCCUCCCUCUGCCUGUGCGGCUCCGGGAUAAGGAACUCUUUCCCAACAGGGAUUUUGGGGCAGGAGGGAGGCUCUGGAAUGUUCUGGAGCCUGGCUGGGCAGGAAUUUCCGCAGGGAAUUCCCGGGGGUGUCUCCCCUGCAGCCGAGGCCGGGGAUGCGCUCGGUGCCCGGGCAGCGCUGGGGCCGAGCGGAGCCGCUCCCAACCCAUCCCAUUUCUCCUCCCUCCCGGCUUUUCCUGGCUCCAGAUCCCGGUUCCACAUUUCCAGAUCCAGGCCUCGGUUACCGGCAGGGGGAACUCUGCUUCCAACCAUUCCCAGCCCCUCCAAAAGCGGCUCCUGUGCAAUCCCAGCCGCAAACGCGGCUUUUCUCCAGCUUUUCCCCCAUUUUCACCGCGUUCAAUCCCUCCCGGCCGCCAGCAGAGCCGGGUUGGGAGCUGGAAUCCUCCCCUGCUCCUCCCGGGCAGCUGGCGUGGAAAACAUUCCCUCUGGAAUUGUGCCCGCAGCUGCCCCGGGAGGUGAGGCUGGGCUGGGAGCGGGAUUUGGCAGCUCCGCUCCCUCUCCUUUCAUCCCCGCUGCUUCUCCCAGCUCCUCCUGCAGCUCCAGCAGCAGAUGGUUCCCAAAAAAAAUCCCAAAAAAAGCCAAAAAAACCCCAAAUGUUUGGAGAGGGAGGUGGAGGGGACGGAAUUUUUGGAUGUUUUGGAGGGAUGGAGAUCGUUCUGUAAAUCAGCGCGGAGUAAAGGUGGAUUAA
Molecule: long non-coding RNA, 1017 nt
Filed under: Parus major (Great Tit)
Lineage: Eukaryota; Metazoa; Chordata; Aves; Passeriformes; Paridae
Description: lncRNA (ENSPMJG00000006817.1)
Source: RNAcentral